Molecule: ribosomal RNA, 266 nt
Filed under: uncultured archaeon
Lineage: Archaea
Description: partial 16S ribosomal RNA
Rfam family: Archaeal small subunit ribosomal RNA
Source: RNAcentral
AGUCACUGACAUUAGAUACCCGGGUAGUCCCAGCCGUAAACUAUGCGCGUUAGGUGUACUGGUGACCACGAGUCACCGGGGUGCCGAAGGGAAACCGUGAAACGUGCCGCCUGGGAAGUACGGUCGCAAGGCUGAAACUUAAAGGAAUUGGCGGGGGGAGCACCGCAACGGGAGGAGCGUGCGGUUUAAUUGGAUUCAACACCGUAAAACUCACCAGGGAAGACUGUUACAUGAAGGCCGAGAUGAAGACUCUGCUAGAUUUUCAG